UCCACUUAAGACGUGAUGUACAAGGACAACAGUCUACAUUGUGAAGCAUGCGAAAUGAAGAUGAUAGUAAAAAUGGGACCAUGAGGACAGUGGCAGUGGUAAUGCAGGAGGCGGAGCUUCACCUCCUCUGUUGUAACCGUGCUGGACUUUGGCUUCUGAGGGUGCAGCUCAGGUGGCAUGUUGACCAUGAAGAGUGAGCUUCCAGACAGUCAGAAAGAUGGCUUAUACUACAUAUAAUUUAUUAUCUCUCGUUAACUUUUAACAUACUCUCAGGACAUUAUUAAGAGCCAGUGUUUAUGCAUUAUUUUUAUCAUACAUUUUCAGCUAUACAGUUUACAACAGGUCAACCUGUUUUUCACAAGUUAACAAAAAGGCUAUUGC
Sinocyclocheilus grahami is the source of this 381-nucleotide long non-coding RNA. RefSeq lists it as uncharacterized. The record is from RefSeq and is a predicted model, not a curated record. The transcript has 3 exons. NCBI's taxonomy places the organism in Eukaryota, Metazoa, Chordata, Actinopteri, Cypriniformes, Cyprinidae.